ACUUAAAUUGAAGAGUUUGAUCAUGGCUCAGAUUGAACGCUGGCGGCAGGCCUAACACAUGCAAGUCGAACGGUAGCACAGAGAGCUUGCUCUCGGGUGACGAGUGGCGGACGGGUGAGUAAUGUCUGGGAAACUGCCUGAUGGAGGGGGAUAACUACUGGAAACGGUAGCUAAUACCGCAUAACGUCGCAAGACCAAAGAGGGGGACCUUCGGGCCUCUUGCCAUCAGAUGUGCCCAGAUGGGAUUAGCUAGUAGGUGGGGUAAUGGCCGGACGGGUGAGUAAUGUCUGGGAAACUGCCUGAUGGAGGGGGAUAACUACUGGAAACGGUAGCUAAUACCGCAUAACGUCGCAAGACCAAAGAGGGGGACCUUCGGGCCUCUUGCCAUCAGAUGUGCCCAGAUGGGAUUAGCUAGUAGGUGGGGUAACGGCUCACCUAGGCGACGAUCCCUAGCUGGUCUGAGAGGAUGACCAGCCACACUGGAACUGAGACACGGUCCAGACUCCUACGGGAGGCAGCAGUGGGGAAUAUUGCACAAUGGGCGCAAGCCUGAUGCAGCCAUGCCGCGUGUAUGAAGAAGGCCUUCGGGUUGUAAAGUACUUUCAGCGAGGAGGAAGGCAUUAAGGUUAAUAACCUUGGUGAUUGACGUUACUCGCAGAAGAAGCACCGGCUAACUCCGUGCCAGCAGCCGCGGUAAUACGGAGGGUGCAAGCGUUAAUCGGAAUUACUGGGCGUAAAGCGCACGCAGGCGGUCUGUCAAGUCGGAUGUGAAAUCCCCGGGCUCAACCUGGGAACUGCAUUCGAAACUGGCAGGCUAGAGUCUUGUAGAGGGGGGUAGAAUUCCAGGUGUAGCGGUGAAAUGCGUAGAGAUCUGGAGGAAUACCGGUGGCGAAGGCGGCCCCCUGGACAAAGACUGACGCUCAGGUGCGAAAGCGUGGGGAGCAAACAGGAUUAGAUACCCUGGUAGUCCACGCCGUAAACGAUGUCGACUUGGAGGUUGUUCCCUUGAGGAGUGGCUUCCGGAGCUAACGCGUUAAGUCGACCGCCUGGGGAGUACGGCCGCAAGGUUAAAACUCAAAUGAAUUGACGGGGGCCCGCACAAGCGGUGGAGCAUGUGGUUUAAUUCGAUGCAACGCGAAGAACCUUACCUACUCUUGACAUCCAGAGAACUUAGCAGAGAUGCUUUGGUGCCUUCGGGAACUCUGAGACAGGUGCUGCAUGGCUGUCGUCAGCUCGUGUUGUGAAAUGUUGGGUUAAGUCCCGCAACGAGCGCAACCCUUAUCCUUUGUUGCCAGCGGUCCGGCCGGGAACUCAAAGGAGACUGCCAGUGAUAAACUGGAGGAAGGUGGGGAUGACGUCAAGUCAUCAUGGCCCUUACGAGUAGGGCUACACACGUGCUACAAUGGCAUAUACAAAGAGAAGCGACCUCGCGAGAGCAAGCGGACCUCAUAAAGUAUGUCGUAGUCCGGAUUGGAGUCUGCAACUCGACUCCAUGAAGUCGGAAUCGCUAGUAAUCGUAGAUCAGAAUGCUACGGUGAAUACGUUCCCGGGCCUUGUACACACCGCCCGUCACACCAUGGGAGUGGGUUGCAAAAGAAGUAGGUAGCUUAACCUUCGGGAGGGCGCUUACCACUUUGUGAUUCAUGACUGGGGUGAAGUCGUAACAAGGUAACCGUAGGGGAACCUGCGGUUGGAUCACCUCCUUACCUGAAAGAA
This 1716-nucleotide ribosomal RNA is filed under the name Lelliottia amnigena. RNAcentral describes it as "16S ribosomal RNA". It matches the Rfam family "Bacterial small subunit ribosomal RNA". The record is from RNAcentral. Lineage: Bacteria; Pseudomonadati; Pseudomonadota; Gammaproteobacteria; Enterobacterales; Enterobacteriaceae.